GAUGAACGCUCGCUACAGGCUUAACACAUGCAAGUCGAGGGGAAACGGCAUUAAGUGCUUGCACUUUUUGGACGUCGACCGGCGCACGGGUGAGUAACGCGUAUCCAACCUUCCCAUGACUAAGGGAUAACCUGCCGAAAGGCAGACUAAUACCUUAUGGUCUUCACUGACGGCAUCAGAUGUGAAGUAAAGAUUUAUCGGUUAUGGAUGGGGAUGCGUCUGAUUAGCUUGUUGGCGGGGUAACGGCCCACCAAGGCAACGAUCAGUAGGGGUUCUGAGAGGAAGGUCCCCCACAUUGGAACUGAGACACGGUCCAAACUCCUACGGGAGGCAGCAGUGAGGAAUAUUGGUCAAUGGGCGAGAGCCUGAACCAGCCAAGUAGCGUGCAGGAUGACGGCCCUAUGGGUGGUAAACUGCUUUUGUAUGGGGAUAAAGUCAAUCACGUGUGAUUGUUUGCAGGUACCAUACGAAUAAGGACCGGCUAAUUCCGUG
Molecule: ribosomal RNA, 492 nt
Filed under: uncultured bacterium
Lineage: Bacteria
Description: partial 16S ribosomal RNA
Rfam family: Bacterial small subunit ribosomal RNA
Source: RNAcentral